CAAUAGCGUAUAUUAAAGUUGUUGCGGUUAAAACGCUCGUAGUUUGAAAUCUGUUAAGGACGAUCUGUCUGCCCUCUGGGUGUGUAUUUGGUCUAGCCUUGGCAUUUCCUUGAACAAGACAACUGCACUUGAUUGUGUGGUGUUGAUUUCAAGGUGUUUACUUUGAGGAAAUCAGAGUGCUUCCAGCAGGUGUGCGCCUUGAAUACAUUAGCAUGGAAUAUCAUUAUAUGGUUUGGAUUUUUACUUGUUGGUUUUUAAAAUUGAAGCAAUGAUAAAUAGGGAUAAUUGGGGGCACUUGUAUUUAAUUGUCAGAGGUGAAAUUCUUGGAUUUGUGAAAGACAAACUACUGCGAAAGCAUUUGCCGAAAAUGUUUUCAUUGA
RNAcentral lists this ribosomal RNA (380 nucleotides) under uncultured eukaryote. RNAcentral describes it as "partial 18S ribosomal RNA". It matches the Rfam family "Eukaryotic small subunit ribosomal RNA", at positions 592 to 976 of the family's 1831-position model. The record is from RNAcentral.